CUGCGGAGGAUCAUUAUCGUACAAUGGAGGUGCUGGGGUUGUCGCUGACUUUUCAAAGGGUCGUGCACACCUCGGUGCUCUCGUACAAAAUCCAUCUCACCCCUUUGUGCAUCACCGCGUGGGGACCCCUUUUGGCUAGUUCUGAAGGGGGGUUUCCCCGUUUUUAUCCAACCCCCCUUUAAAGGCAUAAGGAAAAAGGCCUAAUUUUUGGCAACCCCCCCCAUUUAAAACACUUUUCACCACCGAACUCCUGGGUUCUGCCACCAAUAAAAAACCCACCAAAUGGCAAUCCUAAUGGUGAAUGGCGAAAUUCAUGGAUCCUCCGAACCUUUAACCCCCCCUGGCCCCCUUGGCAUUUCCGAGGGCACCACCCUUUGAGGUGCCUGACAUCUCAAAACCUCCUUUUUUCUUGAGGGGAAGGCUUUGAACUUUGAGGGCUUUGGCUGGCUCCCUUUGUGAAACCCACUCCCCUGAAAUUGAUUUAUGGGGGUCUGCUGCCCAAUCUGAACUGGUAUAGAUUUUCACUCUUGGGUUUCGAUCGCAUCGGUUUCAAUCGCUAUUGGAGACAUGCCGAUGAUGCAUCGACCACGACUUGACUCAAUCGGUGAACUACCGCUGACUAGCAUCA
Molecule: unclassified non-coding RNA, 628 nt
Filed under: Russula sp. SB135
Lineage: Eukaryota; Fungi; Basidiomycota; Agaricomycetes; Russulales; Russulaceae
Description: sequence contains 18S rRNA gene, ITS1, 5.8S rRNA gene, ITS2 and 28S rRNA gene
Source: RNAcentral